This 913-nucleotide ribosomal RNA is filed under the name uncultured bacterium. Its description in RNAcentral is "bacterial SSU rRNA". It matches the Rfam family "Bacterial small subunit ribosomal RNA", at positions 8 to 916 of the family's 1533-position model. The record is from RNAcentral.
AGAGUUUGAUCCUGGCUCAGGACGAACGCUGGCGGCGUGCCUAACACAUGCAAGUCAACUUGAUUCACGGAGCAAUCUGUGAUGAAGGUGGCGGACGGGUGAGUAACGCGUAGAUAAUCUGCCCUUUAAUUCGGGAUAACUCUGGGAAACCGGAACUAAUACCGGAUAAUAUCCUUUUGCCGCAUGGUUAGAGGAUUAAAGACAUUUAGUCGUUAAAGGAGGAAUCUGCGUACUAUUAGUUAGUUGGCGGGGUAACGGCCCACCAAGACGAUGAUAGUUAGCUGGUCUGAGAGGAUGAUCAGCCACACUGGGACUGAGAUACGGCCCAGACUCCUACGGGAGGCAGCAGUGAGGAAUAUUGCGCAAUGGGGGCAACCCUGACGCAGCAACGCCGCGUGAGUGAAGAAGCAGUUUAUCUGUGUAAAGCUCUGUUAAUCGGGACGAACGGAAUGGUUAGUAGCCAUUUUUGACGGUACCGGUAGAGGAAGCACCGGCUAACUCCGUGCCAGCAGCCGCGGUAAUACGGGGGGUGCAAGCGUUGUCCGGAUUUAUUGGGCGUAAAGGGCAUGUAGGUGGAUUUUUAAGUCAGUUGUUAAAUAUCGGGGCUUAACCCCGUGGGGCAAUUGAUACUGGGGAUCUUGAGUAUGAGAGGGGACGGUGGAAUAUCUAGUGUAGCGGUGGAAUGCGUAGAUAUUAGAUAGAACACCUGAGGCGAAGGCGACCGUCUGGCUCAUUACUGACACUGAGAUGCGAAAGCAUGGGGAGCAAACAGGAUUAGAUACCCUGGUAGUCCAUGCCGUAAACGAUGGGUACUAGGUGUUUGGAGACUAGCCCUCCAAGUGCCGUAGCUAACGCAUUAAGUACCCCGCCUGGGGAGUACGAUCGCAAGGUUGAAACUCAAAGGAAUUGACGG